Molecule: ribosomal RNA, 542 nt
Filed under: uncultured archaeon
Lineage: Archaea
Description: bacterial SSU rRNA
Rfam family: Archaeal small subunit ribosomal RNA
Source: RNAcentral
GGCAGCAGCCGCGGGAACACCGGCGGCCCGAGUGGUGAUCGUGAUUAUUGGGUCUAAAGGGUCCGUAGCCGGUUUGGUCAGUCCUCCGGGAAAUCUGAUAGCUCAACUAUUAGGCUUUCGGGGGAUACUGCCAGACUUGGAACCGGGAGAGGUAAGAGGUACUACAGGGGUAGGAGUGAAAUCUUGUAAUCCCUGUGGGACCACCUGUGGCGAAGGCGUCUUACCAGAACGGGUUCGACGGUGAGGGACGAAAGCUGGGGGCACGAACCGGAUUAGAUACCCGGGUAGUCCCAGCCGUAAACGAUGCUCGCUAGGUGUCAGGCAUGGCGCGACCGUGUCUGGUGCCGCAGGGAAGCCGUGAAGCGAGCCACCUGGGAAGUACGGCCGCAAGGCUGAAACUUAAAGGAAUUGGCGGGGGAGCACAACAACGGGUGGAGCCCUGCGGUUUAAUUGGACUCAACGCCGGACAACUCACCGGGGGCGACAGCAAUAUGUAGGCCAAGCUGAAGACUUUGCCUGAAUCGCUGAGAAGAGGUGCAUGG